Epinephelus fuscoguttatus (brown-marbled grouper) is the source of this 4490-nucleotide RNA transcript. It is a transcript of the gene named coiled-coil alpha-helical rod protein 1, with no coding region annotated. The transcript has 20 exons. The record is from RefSeq and is a predicted model, not a curated record. NCBI's taxonomy places the organism in Eukaryota, Metazoa, Chordata, Actinopteri, Perciformes, Serranidae.
UGUGUGGCAGUGAUGUCCGGUAAAUCAUGUAAUUUAUGUUAAGUUCAUAAACAUUCGUUCAUUUUGUUGGCGGUAGGCUUCAUGUAUUUGUGAUUUAAUCGAUGUAUAACUUUAGCAUCAUAAGUUGGCUAGCUAAUAUAGCACAUUCAGAGAGCUCCGGGGGUUACCGCUGUAGCCCGUAACUAAGGCAACCACAAGUGACGUGACCCGCGGGAGAAUAGAGUCAAAAAGAGCACCCAAACACCUCGGACUGUUUACCUGUUUGUUGUUUGGCUUCCAGUCUGUAGUAACUAAUGUGUUGAACAUGGAGAGACAUAACGUGGGAAAAGAAAGGCUCAUAGUGCCCACCGACUUUACCUCACCAGCGGCUCCAAGGAAUACCCAGGAGGAUCUGGUCCCCCCAUCGCAUUUCGCCUCGAGUGUCCAGUCUGCUGGAGCACAAAGAGGCGUUCACAGUGCAAGAAAUCCGCCACUCAACUCCUGGAUGAACCCAAGCGUCACAUCAGUACCAUCAGGAGAUCCCAGUCCUGCCAAUCCAUGGCUCGCCAUCACUCAGGCCCAGCAGGAAAUCUUGGAACUGAGGAAAGAAAAUCAAAGGAUCAUGAUGUUACAAGGGGACAGCGUAAGAGGAAGGAGCCCUGUGGAUCACCCAGCCGACCUUAGAGCAAGGUGUGCAGAGAGAGGCGAGCAGUGGUCUAGACGGGAGUCAGAGUGGCGUCUGGAGGCAGAGAUGCACAAGGCUGAGGCUGAGAGGCUGAAGGGGCAGGUGGAGACCUUGAAGGAGACUGCAGCGAGACACAGGGAAGAAAUGAGAGACAGAGACAGCACCCUGAACAGACAGAGCCAUGAGCUGGAAGCAGUGCGUGAAGAGCUAUGUAAAGCUAAGACUGAACUCAGCCAAAUCAGAACAGAGCUCACUCACAGCAGUACACAGAAGGAGAAAAUAAGCUCCCAGCUUGAAAGACUGAAGAAAGAGUCUGGCGAGGAAAUUACAAAGCUGAGGAGAGAUGUAGCGAGGAGCAAAGAGGAAGCCCAGGAGCUUGCUCUGAAGGCUGAAAUGGGCAGGUUACAAGCUGCGGAGGAGGCCAAACAGCUGACUCUUCAACUGUCAGAACAACUGGAGGAAAUGCAGAAGAAGCAGGGGGUGGAGCUGCAACAGCUGAAUGCUUCCCACUGUGAAGAGGUGGCUGCAGCAAGAAAUACAAUCAGUGAACUACAGGACAGACUUCAGUCGAUGACCUCAGAAGUGCUGCAGCUAAAAAGCACUCUGAUGGCGGUAUCUACUGAGAGAGAUGGGCUGAAAGAACAUUUAAGCCAAAUGGGACAAGCUUUUGAGACACAGUCGGCAACACUGCACAGCCUCAGAAAUUACAUCGGCCAACUCGCCCCGGAGAAAGGAGAGAAGGAACAAUUAAAUAAAGCUGUUGAGAGGCUGAACAAAGAGAAAGCAGCUCUGCAGAUGACCACAGAGCUUUUGACAGUCAGGCUAAACUCUGUGAAUGAGAUACUCGCCCUCCAAGAAGAGAAAAUAGUGAAUAAGAGCUCAACAGGCCCAUUUGGGAAGAAUGGAUCAGAAGGCCUUCAAGUGCUUCAGCUCUGGAGAAACAAAGUAUUCAAGUUAUGCAUCCAGCUUCGCUCAAAGGACAUCGAACUAAAAAGAGAGAAGGAUGAACUUCUUUCAAAGGUUAGAUUCAUGGAGCAGGAGCUCCAGCGGGAGCAGCAUCGGGCUAGUGUGCUCCAACACAGUCUUGAUGACAGGAUAGCUGAGCUAGACCUGGAGAGAGUGGAAAAGGAGACACUGAAACACGACUUGGCCCAGGAGCAAAUGGAAAACUCACAGCUAAAGUCGCAGAGACAGAAAGACGAGGCUGAACUAAGAAUCCUGACAGAGGCAGUGCGUAGGUUCAGUCUGGCAUUUGAAAGCAAGGUGGCAGAAGUGGACGCAGCUCAGUCAAGGCUCAACACUUUGACCCAGAGGCUGACUUUUGCUAAAAGACGAGUGGAGACAAUCCAAGGUUUGACCAUGAGGAAGGUGGCUCUACAGAAAGUUCAGCAGGCCAGUAAACAGGCAGAACAAGCUGCUGACAGCAUCACAAACCUUCAGACAGAGCUUAGUUUGGUGUGUGAAGAGAGAGACAAGCUCACACAGGAGCUCAAAAGAACCCCGGAGCUCAUCGAGAAAGCUCUGGCUGAUCUGAAAGAACAGUAUGAAAGCAAACUGAAGCGGCAGCAGCAACAAGCGCUGGAGCAGAGCUGGGCGGAGGUCCGGCAGGCUGUGGCUGGCAGAGAGGAGGCCGAGCUGAGCCUGCAGCAGAUCCAGACCCAGCUGGAGGAGAGCAAGGUCAACCUGGAGAAACUCCGGUCUGAGCUGCUCAGCCAGCAGGAGCACAGCGACCGUGCCCUGCAGGAGAGAGUGUCUGAGAUCGAAGACCGCUGUGCUGAGAGGCUGAGAGAGAUGGAGGUUCAAGUCAAUACUGCCAGGAGAGAGCACACCAAAGCAGUUAUGACUUUGCGGCAGUUUGAGAAGGAGGCAGCAAGAAAACAGGAUGAGAUGAGAAAAACUCAACAACACACGAAGAGGGAAGUCCAGAGCAAACAAGUGAAGGAGACAGAGAAAGACAGGAAACUACUGCUGGCCACUGUUGCUGAGAAAGGGCUGACAAGUGAAUAUACAAGAGCUCACACAACACCUCUACAAACCUCUGCUGCUCCCAGAGAACAUGGAGAAAAACCGUCAGAGAGGAGUCGCUCUGUGGGAACAAAAGUAUCUCCAGACGGGAGACUUCUGUCUGUCUUGGAGGAGCUCCAUUCUCUCAGUGCUGCAGUGGUAAACAGCUCUGAGGACUCUGCGGAGGAGGAGGGACAGAAUGACAGCGUGGGACCAUCCACAGGCAGUCCGCACAGCUGAUACCUGAUGAUGACUCACUGGAGCCAGUGAACGCACCUUUCAUUUGUACAAAAGUUUCCAUCCUCCAGGAGGUCCUGUAGUUCUCACCUGUAGGUCAGACACAGAGACAUCAUCUGCUGUGAACACGCUGCAAUGGAUUGAUUACUCAGAGCUGUCAGCUGAAACCGGUGUCAUGGUAGGACACAUCUGCACCCUGCUGCUGUCCACUCAGCAGCGUCAAAGAAAUACUGUUUGUUGGCUUCCUUCUGCCCACAACAGCCUCUGUACUCACUGCUACUGAUGAACUCACUGGCUCUGUACACAAAUUAUCAUUAUGUCUUUGUCUGCUGAAACUUAAAACCUCUAUAUAACCGCAUCAGAACUGCCUCUAAUGAUAAGGGGUAAAACAAAAAUAAAUAGGAUUUGAAUGGUGUAGAUCAGACAGCCAAUCUCCAAGUGAAGAGCCAUAAAGUGCCAGUGUGUAAGAUGAGGAAUGUUGAGAGCCUCGGAGCACUCACUGCAGCUGAAACUAUGUUGAGCCAUAAAUACAGGCAAUUUGCAGGAAGCCUUUGGAGAAUGAAACAUGAAAGGUUUUAUUGUGAAGUUUUAUAGCACUCAGCGUGCUCUUUUUAUCUCCUGACCUUUCUGGGGCGCUUCAGACCACUUAUUGCAGCCCUGACCUUGGGUACCAUAACACAAACUACAAUAUCAUCAUUUCAUCUCAGGAAUUUUACGGGAAUUACUUUUAUUGUUUAGUUACAGGUAAAAACGUCUCUUGGGAGCCACUUUACCAGACGGGCAGGCAUGUUACAUACCGUCCGUGGUUUGGCUCAUGUAUUAUUAAUCCCACAUUAUUCCCUCGGGUCGUCUCUCUGUGUUGGCUGAAUGAAAGUUGUGAUAUUAAAGUGAAGUCUGCUGCAGUCUGAUCUAUUAAGCAUCCAGGAGCGCAACACGUUAUCGAGGUUUAUUAGAUUGUGUUUGCUACCUCUUGAUCCCUGACUGAGAAUAAAUAAUGGAUCUAGUUACACAGUUCACAGUUUGGUUUUGAAGACAUUGUUUACAACUGCAUUUCUCAUCUUUAAUUAUCCCAUGCCAACCCUCAUUUACGUUAUCUGCCCCAAGGAAAAUGAGGCCGCGCGUGCAUCAAAGUACUUCUGCUAUGCAUUUUUCAAUUCUCCCAGCAGGCUUUGGCCCUAAUGUCAUCUUACAGUCAGUGUGAAAUGCAGAGCCGCCGCACGUGGCUGCAAAGUUCCACAUCCAAUUUCACAGGUUCCAGCUCUGAGUAAUGGCACUAAAACAGAGACUCUGACUGAAUAAACAAGGGGAGUUCCAAUCCCUAAAGCAUAAUUAUAUGAAUUAAUACACUGUUGAACAAAAGGAGCAAAAAAAAAUACAAGCUCUGCUUUUUACCUGAUAAAUGCUGCUGAAAUUAUGACCAGCUCUUUAGAAAAUGUUGUGAUGCAGACAUGUGCACAGAACAAAUCUGAGAGCCUAAUAGAUUGUCAUUCCUGUGUUAGCAUCUGUUUGACAAAUGUUCACAGUGAAUUUUGAAAAGAAUGUUAACAAGUGAGUAAAAAUCAGUUGCCAUUUUGAUGACUUGAUU